Molecule: ribosomal RNA, 253 nt
Filed under: uncultured bacterium
Lineage: Bacteria
Description: partial 16S ribosomal RNA
Rfam family: Bacterial small subunit ribosomal RNA
Source: RNAcentral
GACAGAGGGUGCAAACGUUGUUCGGAAUUACUGGGCGUAAAGCGUGUGUAGGCGGCCAUAUAAGUCGGAUGUGAAAGCCCUGGGCUCAACCCAGGAAGUGCACUCGAUACUGUAUGGCUUGAGUAUCGGAGAGGUUGGUGGAAUUCUCGGUGUAGAGGUGAAAUUCGUAGAUAUCGAGAGGAACACCGGUGGCGAAGGCGGCCAACUGGACGAAUACUGACGCUGAGACACGAAAGCGUGGGGAGCAAACAGG